AUGAUACUCACUCACCUGCAGAGGCCGAGAAAAAAAACCCCUCAGAUUCCCCCAAACCUUUUAAGCGCACCUGAAGUGCAGCGAGUUAUUGUAGAGCACAUUGUUAAGAGCAGUGAAGUCGUUCCCCCACCAAACUCGCAAUACAGACUGAAACCUUUUUCAGGGAGAGUUCCACAUCCUCCUUUCGAAACUGACUAUGACACUUGGCGCAGCAGUGUCGAGUUUUGCUUGACUGAUCCCUCGCUCACCGAAACUCAAGUUGUGCGAAAGAUUGUUGAAAGUCUUUCACCCCCUGCAGCGGACCUGGUGAAAGCUCUUGGGCCAAAAGCAAGCCCCAAAACUUACCUUGAACAUCUUGAUUCUGCCUAUGCAACUGUAGAGGACGGUGACGAACUCUUUGCCCGUUUCUUAAAUACCAAUCAAAAUGGAGGUGAAAAACCCUCACAUUACCUGCAAAGAUUGCACACAGUGUUAAACCUAGUCUUAAAAAGAGACGGAAUUGGUUCUAGUGACAUCAAUAAACAGCUCCUGAGACAAUUUUGUAGAGGGUGUUGGGACAGCUCACUGAUUACAAACCUUCAACUUGAACAACAGAAAGAUGACCCACCUCAUUUUGCGGAGCUACUUCUCCAACUGCGCACCGAGGAGGACAAACAGGCAAGUAAAGCAACCCGCAUGAAACAACAUUUGGGGAUCCAAAAGACUCGUGUGUAUUCUAACGUGCAAACCACAUGCUCUCAAGGUAGGAACGAUUAUGAGCAUGAAAUGGACAGCAAUUCAUCUGAUCUCCAGAAGCAAAUUGCUGACCUCAGGUCUCAAAUCGCACAGCUCAGAGCUGACAAGACAGAGAAAAGAUCAAAGAAACCUCAAAAGGAAGCUAAACAGAACACAAGUACCAAAACACAGGACAAGCCGGAACAGAUACCACAAAUCGCUGCAGUGUCAGCCAAACCCAAACCUGGAUACUGUUUCAAGUGUGGGGAAGAUGGUCAUAUCGCUUCCAGCUGUAGUAAUGAUCCCAACCCAGCAUUAGUAGCAGCUAAAAGGAAUGCCCUCAGACAAAAGCAGCGAGAAUGGGAAAUAUCCAGACCAGUCCAUGAGUCCUUUAAUUUAAACUAG
RNAcentral lists this long non-coding RNA (1119 nucleotides) under Oreochromis niloticus (Nile tilapia). RNAcentral describes it as "lncRNA (ENSONIG00000041692.1)". Lineage: Eukaryota; Metazoa; Chordata; Actinopteri; Cichliformes; Cichlidae. The record is from RNAcentral.